This is a non-coding RNA of Carica papaya (papaya), 358 nucleotides long. Lineage: Eukaryota; Viridiplantae; Streptophyta; Magnoliopsida; Brassicales; Caricaceae. The record is from RefSeq and is a predicted model, not a curated record.
CAGUGCACAGGAUUGGAAGGCUAGGCUAAAGAUACCACCACCUGAUACUCGCUAUAAAACAGAGGGUGUAGGCUGGUAUGGUUAGUCGGGAAUGGAGCAGGGAGACUUUCAUAUUCUUAUCCUUAUUCACCCAAUACAAAUUGCUCCCAGAGAUAUUCUUGAUGACUACAGAAUGCCCCUACACAUUAGCUCUUCCUGACUAAGCCAAGGUCCAUUUUCUUGACAUGACACCCAAGCUGUCGGUACGUGACUCGUUUGAGGUUUGUAACUAUUUUUGCAUUUUCCUCCACUCUUAGUAAACUUCUGAUAUUUAACCCUGUUGCCCUCAGACUGAGCCCUAACAUAUUGCGAUUAUGUU